UGGCUCACCAAGGCGACGAUGCGUAGCCGACCUGAGAGGGUGAUCGGCCACACUGGGACUGAGACACGGCCCAGACUCCUACGGGAGGCAGCAGUAGGGAAUCUUCCGCAAUGGACGAAAGUCUGACGGAGCAACGCCGCGUGAGUGAUGAAGGUUUUCGGAUCGUAAAGCUCUGUUGUUAGGGAAGAACAAGUGCGAGAGUAACUGCUCGCACCUUGACGGUACCUAACCAGAAAGCCACGGCUAACUACGUGCCAGCAGCCGCGGUAAUACGUAGGUGGCAAGCGUUGUCCGGAAUUAUUGGGCGUAAAGGGCUCGCAGGCGGUUUCUUAAGUCUGAUGUGAAAGCCCCCGGCUCAACCGGGGAGGGUCAUUGGAAACUGGGAAACUUGAGUGCAGAAGAGGAGAGUGGAAUUCCACGUGUAGCGGUGAAAUGCGUAGAGAUGUGGAGGAACNACCAGUGGCGNAAGGCNGACUCUCUGGUCUGUAACUGACGCUGAGGAGCGAAAGCGUGGGGAGCGAACAGGAUUAGANUACCCUGGUAGUCCACGCCGUAAACGAUGAGUGNUAAAUGUUGGGGGGUUUCCGCCCCUUAGUGCUGCAGCUAACGCAUUAAGCACUCCGCCUGGGNGANGUNACGGUCGCAAGACUGAAACUCAAAGGAAUUGACGGGGGCCCGCACAAGCGGGGGAGCAUGUGGUUUAAUUCGAAGCAACGCGAAGAACCUUACCAGGUCUUGACAUCCUCUGACAACCCUAGAGAUAGGGCUUUCCCUUCGGGGACAGAGUGACAGGUGGUGCAUGGUUGUCGUCAGCUCGUGUCGUGAGAUGUUGGGUUAAGUCCCGCAACGAGCGCAACCCUUGAUCUUAGUUGCCAGCAUUUAGUUGGGCACUCUAAGGUGACUGCCGGUGACGAAGGGGGAGGAAGGUGGGGAUGACGUCAAAUCAUCAUGCCCCUUAUGACCUGGGCUACACACGUGCUACAAUGGACAGAACAAAGGGCUGCAAGACCGCAAGGUUUAGCCAAUCCCAUAAAUCUGUUCUCAGUUCGGAUCGCAGUCUGCAACUCGACUGCGUGAAGCUGGAAUCGCUAGUAAUCGCGGAUCAGCAUGCCGCGGUGAAUACGUUCCCGGGCCUUGUACACACCGCCCGUCACACCACGAGAGUUUGCAACACC
Molecule: ribosomal RNA, 1175 nt
Filed under: uncultured Bacillus sp.
Lineage: Bacteria; Bacillati; Bacillota; Bacilli; Caryophanales; Bacillaceae
Description: bacterial SSU rRNA
Rfam family: Bacterial small subunit ribosomal RNA
Source: RNAcentral